Molecule: ribosomal RNA, 255 nt
Filed under: uncultured bacterium
Lineage: Bacteria
Description: partial 16S ribosomal RNA
Rfam family: Bacterial small subunit ribosomal RNA
Source: RNAcentral
UACGUAGGGCGCGAGCGUUGUCCGGAAUCAUUGGGCGUAAAGAGCUCGUAGGCGGUUUUGUCGCGUCUGCUGUGAAAUCCCGAGGCUCAACCUCGGGUCUGCAGUGGGUACGGGCAGACUAGAGUGUGGUAGGGGGAGAUUGGAAUUCCUGGUGUAGCGGUGGAAUGCGCAGAUAUCAGGAGGAACACCGGUGGCGAAGGCGGGUCUCUGGGCCGAUACUGACGCUGAGGAGCGAAAGCAUGGGUAGCGAACAGG